This 21-nucleotide non-coding RNA is filed under the name Caenorhabditis elegans. The record is from RNAcentral. Lineage: Eukaryota; Metazoa; Nematoda; Chromadorea; Rhabditida; Rhabditidae.
UUCAUAUUUUGUCCAAGAAUA